CACGUGUCUCCAUCCCGUCCCUCUAGCCAGGGCCUACCCCGGUACAUUCUUCUAUUGAGGAAGUACCAGGGGAAAAGAACUGUGCUCAAUUUCCUGGGGCUGCAGCUGGACUACAGCAGACAUUGGUUGUUGUUUCUGCUCAGGUUCCCAUGUCCAGAGCAAGCAAGAGUCCUGCCUAGCGCAGGAAAGUGCAUUACACCACCAGUAGGGGGUGCCACAAAGACUCCACCAGCAGGGGGCGCCACAAAGCCUCAGUGGAUUAGUUGCUUUUCUUUUUGCUUUUACUCAAUAAAGUUGACAAUCUGGAUUAGCCUCUAUGCACAUGGAAAAGUCCUAGGUACAGAGAGGCAUAAAGGACUGAAUGAUGGAGCCAACCCCUGAACUUCUGUAGCUUCAUGGAAAACAUCUGCAGAGCUGCUUUGCACCAAGGAGGGAUGUGGUUCCCCCUCCCUGCUGCUGUGGCUGGGGAACACUGACAGCUAGGAUUUAAAAAAAAAAAAAAAA
This 504-nucleotide long non-coding RNA is filed under the name Rattus norvegicus (Norway rat). RNAcentral's name for it is "long non-coding RNA NONRATT023916". The record is from RNAcentral. Lineage: Eukaryota; Metazoa; Chordata; Mammalia; Rodentia; Muridae.